Molecule: long non-coding RNA, 603 nt
Filed under: Manihot esculenta (cassava)
Lineage: Eukaryota; Viridiplantae; Streptophyta; Magnoliopsida; Malpighiales; Euphorbiaceae
Description: long non-coding RNA (MESC_LNC000584)
Source: RNAcentral
AAAAAAAAAAAAAAACUUGAAGUAGAAUUUGAGAAGCUUGGUUUGUGCAAGAUGAGGAGGUGGGUGAGAGUAGUAGGUGAAAAUCAAGAGAGAAGAUGUAGAAGAGGAAAGAGGAGGAUAGCUAUUAUGCCCACUUGUUUUUUUAACAAGCUUCUGUUUCUGUGAGGAAGAAGGGAUGAGUAGGGGAUUGGGAGAGCUUGGCUUUGCUUUGCUUUGCUUGACAUUGCAUCUUCUUCCACUUAGGUAAUUGGAGGACCCACAUGGUCCCAACCUCAAUUAUCAUUUUCUCCACCAAUCUCCUUCUCAUAGAUGCUCUCCAAAGCUGUAUGACAAUAAAAUCUCUUUCCAUUUCUUUCUUCAAGGAUUCAUAUGGGAAGAAUUUACCAAUCAUCCCCUCUUCUUUUCAACAUUCAAUGCAAUUUGCUCAGUUGCUGCCUUUGGUAAAUCAAUAAUCUAAGAGGACAAGAUGUGAUUGGUCUAGUCUAGUGUAUGCAAUGCAAAUGCAUUAUUUCUUUUUUCUUUCUUUUAGGUAUAAUUCAAUGCCUAUAAUGCUUUCUUUCUUUAGAAAAUUUGUAUGCCUCAUUUUUCUUUGUUUUAUAAUUU